Molecule: ribosomal RNA, 253 nt
Filed under: uncultured bacterium
Lineage: Bacteria
Description: partial 16S ribosomal RNA
Rfam family: Bacterial small subunit ribosomal RNA
Source: RNAcentral
UACGUAGGGGGCAAGCGUUGUCCGGAAUUACUGGGCGUAAAGCGUGCGCAGGCGGUUAUGCAAGACAGAUGUGAAAUCCCCGGGCUCAACCUGGGAACUGCAUUUGUGACUGUAGAGCUGGAGUGCGGCAGAGGGGGAUGGAAUUCCGCGUGUAGCAGUGAAAUGCGUAGAUAUGCGGAGGAACACCGAUGGCGAAGGCAAUCCCCUGGGCCUGCACUGACGCUCAUGCACGAAAGCGUGGGGAGCAAACAGG